UGAGUACGAGAUGCUACGGCGUCGAAGCAGUGUAUGUCAGACUUCCAAGAAAAGCUCGCAAUGUCAUAAAUAAAUAAUGCCUGUACCAUAACCGACACAGGUGGGUAGGUAGAGUAUACUAAGGGGCGCGAGAUAACUCUCUCUAAGGAACUCGGCAAAAUAACUCCGUAACUUCGGGAGAAGGAGUGCCUUAUUUUAUAAGGUUGCAAUAACAAGAUCCAAGCAACUGUUUAUCAAAAACACAGGUCUCCGCUAAGUCGUAAGACGAUGUAUGGGGGCUGACGCCUGCCCAGUGCCAGAAGGUUAAAGAAGUUGGUUAGCAUUAGCGAAGCUGGUGACUGAAGCCCUGGUGAACGGCGGCCGUAACUAUAACGGUCCUAAGGUAGCGAAAUUCCUUGUCGGGUAAGUUCCGACCCGCACGAAAGGCGUAAUGAUUUGGAUACUGUCUCGGAGAGGGACUCGGUGAAAUAGACUUGUCUGUGAAGAUGCGGACUACCUGCACCAGGACAGAAAGACCCUAUGAAGCUUUACUGUAACUUGAAAUUGAAAUUGGACUUUAUUUGCGCAGUAUAGGUGGGAGGCGUUGAAAGGAAUCUUGCGGGAUUCGUGGAGCCAUCAGUGAGAUACCACUCCUAUAAUGUUAGAUUUCUAACUUUGUAUCAUGAUCUGGUCAAAGAACAGUUUCAGGCGGGCAGUUUGACUGGGGCGGUCGCCUCCCGAAUGGUAACGGAGGCGUACAAAGGUUUCCUCUGAACGGGUAGAAAUCGUAUCUAGAGUAUAAAGGCAUAAGGAAGCUUGACUGUGAGACCUACAAGUCGAGCAGGGACGAAAGUCGGUCUUAGUGAUCUGACGGUGCUGAGUGGAAAGGCCGUCACUCAACGGAUAAAAGUUACUCUAGGAUAACAGGCUGAUCUCCCCCAAGAGUUCACAUCGACGGGGAGGUUUGGCACCUCGAUGUCGGCUCAUCGCAUCCUGGGGCGGUAGUACGUCCCAAGGGUUGGGCUGUUCGCCCAUGAAAGCGGUACGCGAGCUGGGUUCAGAACGUCGUGAGACAGUUCGGUCCAUAUCCGGUGUAGGCGUUAGAAUAUUGAGAGGAGCCUUCUUUAGUACGAGAGGACCGAGAAGUACAUACCUCUGGUGUACCAGUUAUCGUGCCAACGGUAAACGCUGGGUAGCUAUGUAUGGAGAGGAUAACCGCUGAAAGCAUCUAAGUGGGAAGCCCACCUCAAGAUUAGUAUUCUCGUC
This 1245-nucleotide ribosomal RNA is filed under the name metagenome. RNAcentral describes it as "bacterial LSU rRNA". It matches the Rfam family "Bacterial large subunit ribosomal RNA", at positions 1564 to 2818 of the family's 2925-position model. The record is from RNAcentral.